UGCCAGAUAGCUCAAUGGCGGAGCAUCCGACUGUUAAUCGGAGGGUUGUGGGUUCGACCCCCACUCUGGCAG
RNAcentral lists this transfer RNA (72 nucleotides) under Aulosira sp. FACHB-129. RNAcentral's name for it is "Coleofasciculus sp. FACHB-129 tRNA-Asn". It matches the Rfam family "tRNA". From Rfam's summary of the family: Transfer RNA (tRNA) molecules are approximately 80 nucleotides in length. Their secondary structure includes four short double-helical elements and three loops (D, anti-codon, and T loops). RNAcentral also lists the same sequence under 11 other names. The record is from RNAcentral. Lineage: Bacteria; Bacillati; Cyanobacteriota; Cyanophyceae; Nostocales; Fortieaceae.